Long non-coding RNA from Canis lupus familiaris (dog), 2178 nucleotides. RefSeq lists it as uncharacterized. Lineage: Eukaryota; Metazoa; Chordata; Mammalia; Carnivora; Canidae. The transcript has 4 exons. The record is from RefSeq and is a predicted model, not a curated record.
AUGACUUGAGUAUGACGGAAAGAGAACUAAGAAUGAUGGUUGGUUGACCCUAUGGGGGCACUGACCGCUUUUGUAUCUGUCCCAGCACAUGGCUUCAACGUUUUCUCUGAUGCCUGUACCGCCCGUUCCUCUGGUGCUUUGAACCGGCUUCACCAUCCUACUCACCGCCUCAUUAAUGAAUUGAAGGAAUCUUUGCCACCCAUUCAUCCUAUAUCUAUGGGAGUCAACGUUUUUAACUUUUUGAAGAUUACACUUCUGCGAUGUCUUGCUGUGAUCCACAGUCCUUAAAACCGCGUCUUUUGGGGGAAUGUAACGAUGUGGGCUCAUCACGUGAAGUGGAGAAUGCGAGGCACACAGCUGUACGUACGACUGUGACUAAUUUCAAUAGUAUAUACGGAUUAUGAUUCAGAGAAUGGAGAUGAGAAGGUUUCCUUUGCUGGCCCAACGAUUCCAUGUCAAAGGGAGAGCAACACAUGCACAAGGUGCUGUGGAAGGGAGAGGGCCUCCACCUGUAGACAUGCUGUGGAAGAUUGAAGUAAACAAGAGCUGGAAACCUUCAGAGAAUAUUUUGGUUCAUAAAGUCACUCUCUGCUUUGCCAAGACCUUCCAUGCUCUUAGAAGGAUUGCAACCCUUUUCGGGUCCUAUCAGACACCAAGUGCUGGCAGGACAGGAACAAGACUGUCCAGAGAACAACAACAUGGAGAAAGCAGCCCAUUUUUCCUACUGGGAAAAGCUCCCUGGAACCUAAGACAGAUAAUCUGACUUGUUCUGAGUUCUCCAUAAAAACCCUCAUACCUCUGUCCUCUUCUAACCUUUCAUCCCUGCCUUGCUUCCUUUUGAGCCUCUCUCUCUGGCUCUUGCUUGGUGACCAAGUUUCCCUCACCAGAUCCCUGUGGCAGCACAGAGACUGUAUGCAGCCACCAACUCCCAAGCCCUUUGCUUUCUCCAGAAAAAACACAGGAAACAUUGGAUGGAAUAAACCCUACCAGUCACAAGUAUUCAGACAUUCUCAGCCCAAGACAUAGUUUGGUGUUUACUGUAGAAAAAAGUUGUCAUGGCCUUUGUGUCUCCACUGUAUUUUGCACCCAUCACCUCCCAUCCCAAGAACAAGGAAUGAAUCUGCAGCUGUUGUUUCAACUUCUUCAAUCUGAAGCAAUUUGAAAGCCACAGCUGUUAGGGGCGUAAACCUGACUCUGGCUUUGUCCUUGGUCCACAUCUCAUUUUUCAUGAAAUUCUCUAAGAGCCACACCUCUGGGAGUUGAGUCAGAGAAGGCCACUUCCGUCAAUCAUCCACUCUCCCGGGAUCAGAAGUGCUCGUUCCUAAGGGGAGUUUCCAGUAUGAAAUAGAGCCUGUUCCUGUCCUGAUUUGGUGGAACCGAGCUCCUGGGAGGGGUGCUGAUGUUCCUAAAGGCAUAUGAUGAGUUCAACCACCACCCAGCUUUUCCCACUAGCAGGCAGACAUGGAUAAUUUGGCAAACAUCAGCAUUUGGCUGCCAGCAGGUUGGCUAUUUAGAGGAGAGGGCAGGCUGGAGGACUUUACUACAUCUCAAGUUAACCACACUAAUCUACCCUAGCUUCCACAGAGAACAGCAGGCUAUAUUGAGGGAUCUCAGCAACAGCUGUGCCUUCCAAACCAAGAUGCUGUUCAGAAAGAUGAUCCAAAUGUGGGCUAUGUGUUUCAGUUGGAGCUGGUGGGACUUUCCUUCUCAAAUGGCCCUUUGUGUGCUUCUAAAAGAUGGGGCAUUAACCUCACACGUGGCUAACGCAUGAUGGAUGACUUGGCAUUCUCGAUUUACAUUUGGCUUGUGGUCAGAACUGAACUGUCAGAAUGCCUGAGUAUCUGAUGGACAGUGCCUGGCUUGUUCAGACUCGUUUCUGAUGAAGUGAGUAGAAUGCGGGGGCUUUUGCUCCAUCCAGAUUUGAUAAGCUAAACAAGGCAGGACUGUUACAAAGGCUGACUUUAGUGUUCCUCUCAGGGAGGCAGAGGUCAGUGUCCAGAAUCAGUGGCCUCCUAUCAACUCUAUUCAUAUUAAGCAUUUCUACCUACUUCUGGGUAGCACAGUUGGUUGAGUGUCCAUCUUGGUUUUGGCUCAGGUUGUGAUCUCAGGGUUCUGAGAUGAACCCCCACAUUGGGCUCUGCGCUCAGCAAGAAGUCUGCUUCAGCUUCUCUCCCUCCU